AGAGCGAACGCUGGCGGCAGGCCUAACACAUGCAAGUCGAGCGCCCCGCAAGGGGAGCGGCAGACGGGAGAGUAACACGUGGGAACGUACCCUUCAGUUCGGAACAACCCAGGGAAACUUGGGCUAAUACCGAAUACGUCCGUAAGGAGAAAGAUUUAUCGCUGAAGGAUCGGCCCGCGUCUGAUUAGCUAGUUGGUGAGGUAAUGGCUCACCAAGGCGACGAUCAGUAGCUGGUCUGAGAGGAUGAUCAGCCUCACUGGACUGAGACACGGCCCAGACCUCCUACGGGAGGCAGCGAGUGGGAAUAUUGGACAAGU
Molecule: ribosomal RNA, 317 nt
Filed under: uncultured soil bacterium
Lineage: Bacteria
Description: bacterial SSU rRNA
Rfam family: Bacterial small subunit ribosomal RNA
Source: RNAcentral